This 433-nucleotide ribosomal RNA is filed under the name uncultured bacterium. Its description in RNAcentral is "partial 16S ribosomal RNA". It matches the Rfam family "Bacterial small subunit ribosomal RNA", at positions 29 to 507 of the family's 1533-position model. The record is from RNAcentral.
AACGAACGCUGGCGGCAUGCCUAACACAUGCAAGUCGAACGAGACCUUCGGGUCUAGUGGCGCACGGGUGCGUAACGCGUGGGAACCUGCCCUUAGGUUCGGAAUAACUCCCCGAAAGGGGUGCUAAUACCGGAUAAUGUCUUCGGACCAAAGAUUUAUCGCCUUUGGAUGGGCCCGCGUUGGAUUAGCUAGUUGGUAAGGUAAAAGCCUACCAAGGCGACGAUCCAUAGCUGGUCUGAGAGGAUGAUCAGCCACACUGGGACUGAGACACGGCCCAGACUCUCCUGGGAGGGAGAGGUGUGGAAUAUAGGAGACUGGGCGCGAGAGUGAGCUACAACUGUCGCGUGUGUGAGGAAAGGGCUAGGGGGGUAAAGCUCUUUUACCCGGGAUGAUAAUGACAGUACCGGGAGAAUAAGCUCCGGCUAACUCCGUG